CCGCAGCAGAAUAGGAGAGUGAGGAAGACUAAGCACUACCUGUCUUCGUUGCCCGCCACCCCCACACCCCCUCCCAAGAAGCAAACCCCAAAGUGAGGUUGUCAAUACAAGGAGUUUAUUCUGGAGCUGAUCGAUGUGUUCUUCUUCCUGUUCCUCUUUGCGGUGUGGAUGGUGGCCUUCGGCGUGGCCAGGCAAGGGAUCCUUAGGCAGAAUGAGCAGCGCUGGAGGUGGAUAUUCCGUUCGGUCAUCUACGAGCCCUACCUGGCCAUGUUCGGCCAGGUGCCCAGUGACGUGGAUGGUACCACGUAUGACUUUGCCCACUGCACCUUCACUGGGAAUGAGUCCAAGCCACUGUGCGUGGAGCUGGAUGAGCACAACCUGCCCCGGUUCCCCGAGUGGAUCACCAUCCCCCUGGUGUGCAUCUACAUGUUAUCCACCAACAUCCUGCUGGUCAACCUGCUGGUCGCCAUGUUUGGCUACACGGUGGGCACCGUCCAGGAGAACAAUGACCAGGUCUGGAAGUUCCAGAGGUACUUCCUGGUGCAGGAGUACUGCAGCCGCCUCAAUAUCCCCUUCCCCUUCAUCGUCUUCGCUUACUUCUACAUGGUGGUGAAGAAGUGCUUCAAGUGUUGCUGCAAGGAGAAAAACAUGGAGUCUUCUGUCUGCU
Molecule: small RNA, 667 nt
Filed under: Pan troglodytes (chimpanzee)
Lineage: Eukaryota; Metazoa; Chordata; Mammalia; Primates; Hominidae
Description: processed transcript
Source: RNAcentral